Molecule: long non-coding RNA, 984 nt
Filed under: Gossypium barbadense (sea-island cotton)
Lineage: Eukaryota; Viridiplantae; Streptophyta; Magnoliopsida; Malvales; Malvaceae
Description: long non-coding RNA (GBAR_LNC008303)
Source: RNAcentral
CCAUUCCUCUGCUAGGGUUUUGACCUUGCUUUAGGGAGCCACAUAGGAGGGUCAUCGGUGCUUCAGCACCUUCGCCUCUGACGCCGAUCCAUGAAGCGAACACAGGUAAGCCCUUUCUCUUUCAGUUUUUAUUUAGAAUCCGUUUGUAAAAAAAACGAAAAGAAGGAAAAAAGGAAACGUGAAUUUGAAAAGAAAAUCCCAGAAAAAGAAUGAAAAACAACCUUUUAAACCUUGGAUCUAAUUUUUUUUAUUGCUAUUGAUUGUUUUUUUAUUCAGUAUCCAUAAAAACUUUGCACCGAUUCUCUGGCUUUUUAUAGCAAAAAAAAUGAAAACGAAAUUACAACCUCAUUUUUCUUCUAUAUUUUCUACUAUUAUUUUUUACUAUUUUCUGUUAUUUGCUGGUUAUUUGCUGUAGUUAGUUUCUUCCCGCAGGUUCUGCUGAUGUGGAAGUGUACGGAGAAGAAGGCCACUUGUGGGGAGGCUACGGCACGCAUGAGCAGCAGCUUCGUGGCCUAGAGUUUCCAGCAGAUCUCAUCUGUUCAGGCCAUUUGGGCCAGUGUGCCUUGGGCCCUUGGAAUUGGGUCUGUUUUAGGUUUUUAGCAACUGGGUUGGGUCUAGGUCUUAGGUUGGGUCUAUUGUAAAAUGGGUUUUGAAAUUUGGGCUAUAACUUGUGUUUGGGCUAGAAUUUUGUGAUCUGGACUAAUAUUUUAUUUUUUAUUUUGGACUAUUAAAAAAACCUGGUGUAAAUGGACUUUUAUUUAUUAUUUUUUUGUUUUAAGUUAUUUUAUUUAUUUUUGGAUAACUUUAUGGGCCCAGACGAAAUGGGCCUUCUACAAACCCCACACACCAAAUUAGUGAUCAUAUGUCAUUGUAUAGAAAUAUGCAGUUAAACUGCCAGAUAUAGUACAAAAAACUGCUAGAAUUAGAUAUAUGCAGUGUUUAACUGCCAAAUACAAUAAUUUGCAGUGUUACGGCUAGAAAUUG